AAACCCUCAACCCUAGAUUGGUUAAAACCUUUCUUUGGUUUGGAUUUGGACGUUUGCCGAUGAUAAGUCGGCUCGUCUUAAAAGUAAUAGCUGGAUCUGUCUCGCGACAUGGUUUGACUUGGCGUAAUAAGUAUUUCGCUAAGGACAUCUUCGGAUGGCCGCGUUGCAGGACUAAAGACCGCUUUCGAAUCCAUUGAUCUUCGGAUUAAUACUCUUGAC
Molecule: unclassified non-coding RNA, 219 nt
Filed under: uncultured fungus
Lineage: Eukaryota; Fungi
Description: sequence contains ITS2
Source: RNAcentral